GUCCCUAUAAAGCGGUGAAUAUCUCGUUGGGCUUCUAAUCCAAAGAUAGUGGGUUCGAAUCCCACCUGGGAUG
This is a non-coding RNA of Trichonephila clavipes, 73 nucleotides long. NCBI's taxonomy places the organism in Eukaryota, Metazoa, Arthropoda, Arachnida, Araneae, Nephilidae. The record is from the annotation of a GenBank genome assembly.